UCUCCUCCGUGCAGCUCCUCUGUCAGCUCCGUUCUUCUCCCAGUGUAAGUCUCGCGAGACUUACACUGUAAGCAGAACGGAGCUGACAGAGGAGCUGCUUGUUGCCUGGUCAGGGAGGGGGGACAAAACAUUUUUUUUUUUUUUAAAUAA
This is a non-coding RNA of Pelobates cultripes (western spadefoot toad), 150 nucleotides long. The record is from the annotation of a GenBank genome assembly. Lineage: Eukaryota; Metazoa; Chordata; Amphibia; Anura; Pelobatidae.